This 350-nucleotide ribosomal RNA is filed under the name Veillonella parvula. RNAcentral's name for it is "bacterial SSU rRNA". It matches the Rfam family "Bacterial small subunit ribosomal RNA", at positions 365 to 707 of the family's 1533-position model. The record is from RNAcentral. Lineage: Bacteria; Bacillati; Bacillota; Negativicutes; Veillonellales; Veillonellaceae.
UCCGCAAUGGACGAAAGUCUGACGGAGCAACGCCGCGUGAGUGAUGACGGCCUUCGGGUUGUAAAGCUCUGUUAAUCGGGACGAAAGGCCUUCUUGACGAAAAGUUAGAAGGAUUGACGGUACCGGAAUAGAAAGCCACGGCUAACUACGUGCCGCGCCGCGGUAAUACGUAGGUGGCAAGCGUUGUCCGGAAUUAUUGGGACGUAAAGCGCGCGCGGCGGAUCUGUAGUCUGUCUUAAAAGUUCGGGGACUUAACCCCGUGAUGGGAUGGAAACUGCUGAUCUAGAGUAUCGGAGAGGAAAGUGGAAUUCCUAGUGUAGACGGUGAAAUGCGUAGAUAUUAGGAAGAAC